GAUGAACGCUGGCGGCGUGCUUAACACAUGCAAGUCGAACGGUGACGGCGGCGCUUGCUCUGCUGGAUCAGUGGCGAACGGGUGAGUAACACGUGAGCAAUCUGCCCCUGACUCUGGGAUAAGCGCUGGAAACGGCGUCUAAUACUGGAUACGAGCUGCGCAGGCAUCUUCAGCAGCUGGAAAGGACUUCGGUCGGGGAUUAGCUCGCGGCCUAUCAGCUUGUUGGUGAGGUAACGGCUCACCCAGGCGUCGACGGGUAGCCGGCCUGAGAGGGUGACCGGCCACACUGGGACUGAGACACGUCCCAGACUCCUACGGGAGGCAGCAGUGGGGAAUAUUGCACAAUGGGCGCAAGCCUGAUGCAGCAACCCCGCGUGUGGGACGACGGCCUUCGGGUUGGAAACCUCUUUUAGCGGGGAAGAAGCGAAAGUGACGGUACCUGCAGAAAAAGCGCCGGCUAACUACGUG
RNAcentral lists this ribosomal RNA (468 nucleotides) under uncultured bacterium. Its description in RNAcentral is "partial 16S ribosomal RNA". It matches the Rfam family "Bacterial small subunit ribosomal RNA", at positions 28 to 507 of the family's 1533-position model. The record is from RNAcentral.